GAACGGUAACAGGUUAAGCUGACGAGUGGCGAACGGGUGAGUAAUAUAUCGGAACGUGCCCAGUCGUGGGGGAUAACUGCUCGAAAGAGCAGCUAAUACCGCAUACGACCUGAGGGUGAAAGCGGGGGAUCGCAAGACCUCGCGCGAUUGGAGCGGCCGAUAUCAGAUUAGGUAGUUGGUGGGGUAAAGGCCCACCAAGCCAACGAUCUGUAGCUGGUCUGAGAGGACGACCAGCCACACUGGGACUGAGACACGGCCCAGACUCCUACGGGAGGCAGCAGUGGGGAAUUUUGGACAAUGGGCGCAAGCCUGAUCCAGCCAUGCCGCGUGCGGGAAGAAGGCCUUCGGGUUGUAAACCGCUUUUGUCAGGGAAGAAAAGGUUCUGGUUAAUACCUGGGACUCAUGACGGUACCUGAAGAAUAAGCACCGGCUAACUACGUG
This 441-nucleotide ribosomal RNA is filed under the name uncultured bacterium. RNAcentral describes it as "bacterial SSU rRNA". It matches the Rfam family "Bacterial small subunit ribosomal RNA", at positions 64 to 507 of the family's 1533-position model. The record is from RNAcentral.